Mytilus californianus (California mussel) is the source of this 3002-nucleotide long non-coding RNA. RefSeq lists it as uncharacterized. Lineage: Eukaryota; Metazoa; Mollusca; Bivalvia; Mytilida; Mytilidae. The record is from RefSeq and is a predicted model, not a curated record. The transcript is spliced from 4 exons.
UGCAGAAGAUUAUAUUGAUGAGUACCAAGAAGCGUUACUUAAGUCAUUGGGAUCAGACAGACGGAAGGAUCAUUUUAGAAACUUUUUUGCUAUAUCGAACACACAAUCAUCGGAAGCCGAAGUUGAAAAAUUACGUCAAUAUAUAUUCGCAAUUGCAAAGCAACAGGAACACUGGGGCGUAAAGGUGCCAGUAAAAUGGAUACCUUUCGGGAAUAAAAUAGAGGAAUUGCGAUUAGAGGGGAAAACAGUGGUGACUGUCAAUGACCUUUGGGGGAUUAAUAAAUCUCUUCCGUCUCCUCUAUCAACUAAGAAGGAGCUCAUUUCAUUCUUGGUAUUACAUCAUGAUAUUGGAAAUAUUAUAUUUUUUGAAGAUAUAGGUGAAAGUGUGAUAAUAUGUCCACAGUGGUUUGCUAAUGCAUUGCGUUGUAUUGUUGGCGCAAAAUGCUUCAUAGCACCAAAUUUGCAUAUUGAUUGGGAACAGUACGAAAAGACUGGCUUCUUACAAAAAAAGUUGAUAGAACAUUUAUUCAAAGAAACAGAGUCUUCCCUGUCUGAGUUCAAAGAACAUAUCUUUAACGUUAUGGAGAAAUAUGACAUUUUAGUUUGUGCAGAUAUUCUGGACCAGGAAUAUGACAUGUAUAACAAUGAUUUUAACUAUCUCGUUCCGUGCAUGGUUCGUACAUCUGGAUGGCAUAUAGUAAGUAACAAAUUUAUAAAUUUUACUAAGUCUGCAAUCAUUUGCUUUGAAUAUGAUUUUCUCCCGUCGAUGUUUUUUUUCAUGUGGUAGUAUAUUUCCUUCGCCGGUUCAAACUUACUAAUGAUUCCGACAAUCCAUCUGGCUAUGUUGGUGAACUAUACAGAGAUGUGGCACUAUUUGAUAUUGACGAUACAGGAUGCGAAAAAGUUCUUCUCUGUUCUCACAAAAACAGUAUUCAAGCUCAAAUAUGGAUAUGGGGAAUUGGAAUGGAAAAUACUGGAAGGAUGAUUCGAUGUCUCCUUGAGGAUGAUAUGUUUGUUAUUCAAAGGAAAUAUGAUGUAAUGAAAGCGGUAGAAAUAAAGAUAAAAUGCCCAGAAAGCACCUUGAUCAGUAACAAAGGAGGAAUAAACCUUGAGAGUCUUAGACCAGUUAGAGAAUAUUGGUGUAAAGAACAUAACAUUAUACACGAGUGUCUGUUAUUCAAGCAAUAUUGGAUGCUGAAUGUGAUACUGGAUGACACCGUUUCAGAAGAAGAACAGAAUUUCAUACGUGUCAGCAAGGCAUCGGUCGAAGUGCUGACAGACAUGCUAUAUGAUCUUACUUAUGCAAGCGCAUGUUCAAUCACCAAACCCAGAAAUGAAUGUGACAUCACUUAUCUGUAUGGCGAAUUACGACGUCAAGGAUUAUGUCUUCCGUCACGUGGGAGAUGGGGCGGAGAUAAUUGGCCAUGUGAGCGAGUUGCUGUAAAUGUUGGAGAUGAUAUUGAAAGAAUACGGCUGAACAGAAAUAGGCUUCAACAUACAUCACACUUCGAAAUGUCGAUCUUCGAAUUCACCGACAGAUGGAAAAAGUUGAUAGUCCUUGCGAAAAGGUUUGACGCUCGGCUGACACCUGCAACGUUUUACGAGGAUAGGCUCAUCCGGCUCAACCACUACCUGGGAAGAAAACGAGAUUUUCAAAACUUCCAAACAAAAGAAUCUAAAGUGAAAGUUCUUAAACCAUACAGGCGAUGUACUCGAAACACUGUUUAGGCCUACAAGGUCAAAUCACGGCAGCAUUAUAUAAACCAGACAGCUGUUGUGUGUUACUAGGUCACCUAGGAUAAAGGAGUUUAAAUGUUUGCUCCAGAAGAGAGCCAACCAUGCACUUGUCAAUUUGAAUUGGUUGUCACCAUCUCACCUCAAAGCACGAGAGAAGUAGGAGCAAAGACUGUUCUAAAUGAUAUAUCUGAGAAAUGGUAAAUUAAUGUAGACUGUUACUGUGCGAAAGGGGUUGUAAGAUCAACGUGUACUACAAAGCAUGGAUCAUAUUCAUAUAUCAUAAAAAUUUACGUUAUUAACAUUUAUUUGACAUGUCACUUGACAAGCACACAUCAUUAGUAGAAGCAGCGUCAGCGCUUAAAGCAAGAAUAAUAUAAAUUAUUCCAAUUGUAUAGAUAGUGUGUUUAAAAGUUUUGUUAUAAGUUCAAAGCUUUUUUUAUCAAUACAUUUGUAUACAGACAGUCUGACGCGUCCUUUUUUCAUUGCCCUUAAGGUAAUACGUAAUGUUUGUAGACAGUGCGGCCAGUAUGUGUGUUGUUACUUUAGAAGUUUCAUUUCAUGCAUCUAUGUACAAAUGUAUGUAGACAAUCUGUCGAGUAGCCUUUUUAAUACUUUAAAUAAUGCAAUCAAUGUAUGUAGACAGUGUGUCAGUUAGCUCUGUCAUAAUUCUAAAGGAUUUUUAAAAUACAUGUACGUAGACACUGAGUCAUGUAGCGUUAAUCAUUAUUUGAAAGUUAAAAUCCAUGUAUGUAGAUAAUGUGUCCAGUGAUGUUUUCCUUACUUUAAAUUGUUAUUUUAUGUAUUGAGGCAGUGUAUCCAGUGACUUUGUCGUUAUUUUAAGUUUGUUAUCCAGUAUGAACAUAGUGUGUCAUAUAUAGCUGUGUCAUUAUUGCAAAGAUUGUAACUUAUGUAUGAAGCCAGUGUGUCAAGUAUCUUUUUUUUUUUAUUUCAAGUGUAUAAUAUAUAUAUGUUAUGUAAAUAGUGGGUCCAGUACCUUUGUCGUUACUAUAAGUAGGUAGUUCGUGAAUGUAGACAGUGUGUCAAAUAGCCGUGACAUUACUUGUAUUUUUAAACAUCUGUGUGUCAAGUAACUGCAAUGGUGAUACUCCAUCAAUGUAAACAGUGUGUCAAAUAGUGUACUCGUGUAUGUAUACAUAAUGUAUAAAAGGUUUGUUUUAACAUUUACGGUUUUAUUCAAUGAUUGUAGAUUGUGUGUUAAUUAUGGCAUGGUAUUGGUUGCAAAAAAUAAAUAUUUUUCAUUUAUA